Molecule: small nucleolar RNA, 145 nt
Filed under: Balearica regulorum gibbericeps (East African grey crowned-crane)
Lineage: Eukaryota; Metazoa; Chordata; Aves; Gruiformes; Gruidae
Description: Balearica pavonina gibbericeps Small nucleolar RNA ZL1
Rfam family: Small nucleolar RNA ZL1
About the family: Host gene TRRAP. Predicted target U2@U47.
Source: Rfam by way of RNAcentral
GAAGAAGCAAAGUGAUGAAUAAUACUUGCAUGAGCCAAAGUGAGCGAGCUGUGUGUGUGUGCGCAGUUGUGUGAUGGUUGGUUGUGAGGAUUGUGUGCCUUAAAACUGGGCGGUGAUAGCUAAACUGAUAAGAUCUGAUUGCUUC